Molecule: ribosomal RNA, 469 nt
Filed under: Mogibacterium timidum
Lineage: Bacteria; Bacillati; Bacillota; Clostridia; Peptostreptococcales; Anaerovoracaceae
Description: bacterial SSU rRNA
Rfam family: Bacterial small subunit ribosomal RNA
Source: RNAcentral
GAUGAACGCUGGCGGCGUGCCUAAUACAUGCAAGUCGAGCGAGAAGCUUGGAAAUGACGCUUCGGUUGAUUUUCCAAGCGGACAGCGGCGGACGGGUGAGUAACGCGUAGGCAACCUGCCCCUGACAGAGGGAUAGCCAUUGGAAACGAUGAUUAAAACCUCAUGACACCGUAGUAGCACAUGCUACAUCGGUCAAAGAUUUAUCGGUCAGGGAUGGGCCUGCGUCUGAUUAACUGGUUGGUGAGGUAACGGCUCACCAAGGUGACGAUCAGUAGCCGACCUGAGAGGGUGAUCGGCCACAUUGGAACUGAGACACGGUCCAAACUUCUACGGAAGGCAGCAGUAGGGAAUCUUGCACAAUGGGCGAAAGCCUGAUGCAGCAACGCCGCGUGAAGGAUGAAGGCCUUCGGGUUGUAAACUUCUGUUCUAAGGGAAGAAAGAAAUGACGGUACCUUAGGAGCAAGCCCCG